GGAAAUGGAGUUUGUUUAAAAUUCUUAAAUUACGAUUAAGAGAUUCUAGUCUUAUAGACUUUUCCA
This 66-nucleotide transfer RNA is filed under the name Haematopinus apri. Its description in RNAcentral is "tRNA-Val". Lineage: Eukaryota; Metazoa; Arthropoda; Insecta; Psocodea; Haematopinidae. The record is from RNAcentral.